UUCAAGCAGACAUCAAGGUGACAGCCGUCAGUCACGAGGAGAAGAUUGGUUUGAAAUUUUCACAUCAAAUUUGUCAGAGAAGAAGAACAAAGCAUUAACGGAUGAUGCCAACGAUGACACUUUGCCUGCUGUUGUGGGUUCUUGGUACUGGAGUUAUUUUAUCAGAGGGAGAUGAUCCACCUUUUGAUGAUGAAGAUUUUACUGAUCUUUUUACUUAUGGCGAAAUAAAUUCAACCUUAAUAAUAAAUGACACUGAAGUGCUGCUUCCUCUACUGUUAGGUUAUCAAAGUGUUGAUAAUGAUUUUGGCAGUGGUGAAAUUCCAGAAAAAGACAGGACACACUCCUCAGCUCCCAGAAACCAUGGACUGAAAACAGCUGGUGCUGAAAAUGCUGACCUCUCUUCCCUUGGCCUGAGCUAUGUUCUUUUAGCUUUGUGUAUGCUAGUAUAAAAAAAAAAGUUUGUUUGUUUUUUCUUUUGAAAAGUGUGAGCUGCUUGUAAAUACACAGGAAACCUGUUCACCCCCCACCUGUAAGUUUUAUCAUCCUGCUCUUACUAAGCUGAUUAGUGGUUUGGUUGUUAAAGUGAUUACCUCUGUGUUUCUCGGCACAUGAUCAUAUCACACAUGUUUAUGAGCUACUGAUAUUCAGCAUCUGCAACCACAAAUCCACUGAGAGCGAGGUGUUCCGUUUUAUUUUCAGAUGAAUAAGCCAUUAGAAAUAAAACAAUCUUUAUUUUUCAUCAAUUCUAACCAAGAAAACUUCAGAUUAGCACAUAAGCUGCAAACACCUGACAUAUAAACCAUGAAAACUGUGCCUUCUUUAUUGGUGCAGUCACCUUUUCUAGGUACGCAAAUUUCGGGGUUGAAUCCCCCAGUUGCCAUCAUUGUAAUUACUCAUGCAUGCAUGUGGUAUAUUUUAAAGAACUCACUGACAUUUGCGUGUGUGCAAUCAUCUUGGACUGGCAAGGGUUUGAAACUCAAGUUGGUCCUCAGAGUACACAAACUGAAACCUGCUAGUUUCAAAGUGCAGGUGAGCUGCUGUAGAAGCAACAACAUUUACCCAUUGUUAGGUGUAGAUGAAAACAAAUGAGAGAAGAAGAUGUGUGACCUGUAAAGCCCUUGUAAACUUGUAGUAAGUCUAAAUUUAAAUACAUACAGGGUUUAAAAUGACUUUAAAGUUCAAAUUUCCUCAAGACUGGCCUGCACAGAGUCCUGACCUCAACCCGAUCGAACACUUCUGGGAUGAAUUGAAGCGGAGACUGUGAGUCAAGUCUUUAUAUCCAACAUCAGUGUCUGACCUCACAGACGCACUUCUGGAAGAAUGGUGAAAAAUUCUCAUAAACUCUCCUAAACCUAAGUUGAACAUGUUUGGGCCAACAUCAUAUGAAACCCUGUCACUCAAGUUCACAUGCAUGUGAUGGCAGAGAAGUAAAUAGCUUUGGUUAUAUAGUGCAUGUACAUCUGACCACUGCGCUGUUAAUACUCAUAUUAAAUAAAGGAACAGCUCAAAGAGCAAACAGUAUAAAUUCACUUUGUUCACUUUGUGUCAGGGCUGGCUCUGUGACUCAGCACUUUCAGUUGGUUUUGAUCUCUUGUUAUAUUUUGAAGAUAAUGCGGAGUUUGGGAUUAUUAAUUGGCUGUGAAUUUUAGUUUAGUCUGUUUCACCCAGGCCUUCUGUGCUAUUUGUUAUGUAUUUCUUGUCAGCGUGUUUCAUGUUGUCAAGCCUGUGUCGUCACAUCCACGUCUCUCCAUGUUUCCUGUUUUAUUCUGAAAGUCUUGUGUUUCUUUGUUUAACGUGUUUUACUCUUCUCCUGUGAUGUCCUUAUGUUCAUUUGAGUCAGCUGUUUCCCCGUGUGUUUCCACUUCCCCUGUGUGUAUUUAAGUCCUCCUUCUUCCUUUGUUCAGUGUCAGGUCGUCAGUUUUCCUGCCCUCCGUGUCACUUCAGGUUUCCAAGAAUUUCAUGAUUUUGUUCAGGGCACGUUCAUGUGUCUAGUUCGUGUUUGUAUUUCACAGUUUCUUUCAUAGCUGCACAAAAUCAUGUUCAUAGUCAUCAUAGUCAUUUCUAGUGUUUCCAGUUUAGGUUUUAGUUUAGCCCUUUCCACUGUUCAUGUUGUUUUGUUUUGUUUUGCACUCUUGUCAUAAGCCCUAUUAAAGUCUCGCGUUUUGUUUAAAGUUC
Long non-coding RNA from Oreochromis aureus, 2175 nucleotides. RefSeq lists it as uncharacterized. The transcript is spliced from 4 exons. Lineage: Eukaryota; Metazoa; Chordata; Actinopteri; Cichliformes; Cichlidae. The record is from RefSeq and is a predicted model, not a curated record.